UUACGGCCACAUCACGUUGAAACACCGGUACACGUAGGAUCACCGAAGUUAAGCAACAUUGAGCCUGGUUAGUAUCUAGACUGGUGGCCUCAGGCGAAUACCAAGUGCUGUAAG
Molecule: non-coding RNA, 114 nt
Organism: Acanthosepion pharaonis
Lineage: Eukaryota; Metazoa; Mollusca; Cephalopoda; Sepiida; Sepiidae
Source: the annotation of a GenBank genome assembly